CUUGAACCUGGUGAAUGCAUUAUCUGUGAUUUUGGCUAGAAUCCGCUGAGUUUCUGAGGGUGUUAUGAUUCUGGGUUAUUUGAAUCGGUGUGAGGCAGCAAGAAUCUGAUUUUGCAUAUUUUAAGGUAGUUCUUUUCUGCGUGCGUGGCGGGUCACCAUGUGGUAGCCGAGCUCAGCCCGCUGCGCCGCGGCCAUGGCGGCCAGAGACAGGCCGUCCGCCGAACCGACGGCCGGCUUCGUCUGCCCCGGAACAGAGUUCAUCCGGCAGGCGACCAACUAUGAGGAGAUCGGCCUCAUCGGAAACGGUGCGUACGGUACGGUGUACAAGGCGCGCGACCUGCGCAAUGAGGGCCAGAUGGUGGCGCUGAAGAAGAUUCGGGUGCGCCUCUCGGAUGACGGCGUUCCAAUGUCAACCCUGCGUGAGAUCGCUACUCUGCGGCAGCUGGAGAAGUCAGAUCACCCCAACAUCGUCAGGCUGCUGGACAUCUGUCACGGCCAGCGGUCCGAGCAGGGCAACCAGCUCAUCCUGGUGCUGGUGUUCGAGCACAUCGACCAGGACCUGUCGGCCUACCUGGAGAAGUGCCCGCAGCCCGGCCUCAGCCCCGGCCUCAUCAAGAGCAUGCUGUACCAGAUCCUGGCGGGUGUGGACUUCCUGCACAGUAACCGGAUCGUGCACCGAGACCUGAAGCCGCAGAACAUCCUGGUCACAAACGGCGGCGACGUCAAGAUCACCGACUUCGGCUUGGCCAGGAUAUACGACUACCAGAUGACACUCACCAAUGUGGUGGUAACGCUCUGGUACCGGGCGCCCGAGGUGCUCCUCCAGUCCUCGUACGCCACGCCGGUCGACAUCUGGUCGGUGGGCUGUAUUUACGCCGAGCUGUGGCGGCGGACGGCGCUCUUCUGCGGCAGCAACGAGACGGGCCAGCUCGUCAGGAUACUCGACGUGAUGGGCACGCCAGACGAGGCGGACUGGCCGGAGAACGUGUCCGUGCCGUGGUCGUCGUUCCACCGGCGCCAGGGAGUGCUCGACAAACUCGUACCUGAAAUCUGCGACCUGGGCCGCGACCUGCUCAAGCGUAUGCUGGCGUUCUCGCCCAGCCACCGGAUCACUGCUGCCGAGGCGCUGCAGCACGCCUACUUUGACGACGAGCGGAUGGCUCUCAGCUCGCCGUCGGGCGGCCAACUGUCCUGCUCGAGCGCCAAUGACUCGGGCACAUCGAACGCCAGCAGCGCGUGAGAGGGCGCGUCACAGACUGAGCGGUGGCCGCGGGCCGGAGAGUGGUGCUGGACCUACCUGAAGUGGCUGUAGCGGUGCUGACUGAGCGGCGCGGGCGCCGCGGUGUGCGCCGUACCGGCGCCGGAGGUUCAUUCCCAGUUAUUUGUUGACGCCUGCAUUCCCUGCGGGACCAUUGCGCUCGGACCGCUGCCGGUCCGGGCGGGUUUUGUACGUGUUGUGUCUGUGUUUGUGUGCGCGUGUGUUGCGGGCGGGUGGCCCCGCCAGGGCGGCCCGGUGCCCUCGGCCCGGGCGCGCCAUACCUCACAAACUGCCGGGUCGAUCGCCGCUGGCGCUCCUCCUUCCUCGGGCGCGUCGAGCCAUCCGCGGGCAUUUCCAGUGGUCUGUACAUAGGCAGCCGGCGGCGGGCGAGCCGCCCCUCUGUGUAUCAGUAGCCUCUCCGCCUCUGUUUCCUAGUCACUCGUCUGUCGUGGCGUGCCGAGGCCGUCGCCAGUCCUCCAGGUGCUACUGCGCAUGUGCAGCUUCUGCGCACAGUCCAGCCGGAAUUUCGUACUUAUGUCAGGCGCUAACAUAUCAACUAUCAGCUGCCGUGCGUGCCUUCGAGCGACCGUCCGGAGAGCGUCAGCCAGGUCUCCGUGAGGAAUCCACUAGGAUAAUGUGUAAUUUGUACAUGCUUUGUUUCGAUCGUUAUAUAUUUCAUACAAAUAUUUUGGGAAC
RNAcentral lists this unclassified non-coding RNA (1954 nucleotides) under Amphibalanus amphitrite. Its description in RNAcentral is "cyclin-dependent kinase 6-like, transcript variant X5". The record is from RNAcentral. Lineage: Eukaryota; Metazoa; Arthropoda; Thecostraca; Balanomorpha; Balanidae.